This 427-nucleotide ribosomal RNA is filed under the name uncultured bacterium. Its description in RNAcentral is "partial 16S ribosomal RNA". It matches the Rfam family "Bacterial small subunit ribosomal RNA", at positions 354 to 796 of the family's 1533-position model. The record is from RNAcentral.
GUGGGGAAUAUUGGGCAAUGGGGGAAACCCUGACCCAGCGACGCCGCGUGAGGGAAGAAGGCCUUAGGGUCGUAAACCUCUGUUGUGUGGGAAGAAGGAAGUGACGGUACCACACGAGGAAGUCCCGGCUAACUACGUGCCAGCAGCCGCGGUAAUACGUAGGGGACGAGCGUUGUCGGGAAUUACUGGGCGUCAAGGGCGCGUAGGCGGUCAUUUAAGUCAGCUGUGAAAUGGUCCGGCUCAACCGGAUCAUGCGGUUGAAACUGGAUGACUGGAAUGCUAGAGAGACAAGUGGAAUGCCCAGUGUAGCGGUGAAAUGCGUAGAUAUUGGGAAGAACAACGGUGGCGAAGGCGACUUGCUGGCCAGCAACUGACGCUGAGGCGCGAAAGCCAGGGGAGCAAACGGGAUUAGAUACCCGGGUAGUCC